GACGAACGCUGGCGGCGUGCUUAACACAUGCAAGUCGAACGGAAAGGCCCUGCUUUUGUGGGGUGCUCGAGUGGCGAACGGGUGAGUAACACGUGAGUAACCUGCCCUUGACUUUGGGAUAACUUCAGGAAACUGGGGCUAAUACCGGAUAGGAGCUCCCGCUGCAUGGUGGGGGUUGGAAAGUUUCGGAGGUUGGGGAUGGACUCGCGGCUUAUCAGCUUGUUGGUGGGGUAGUGGCUUACCAAGGCUUUGACGGGUAGCCGGCCUGAGAGGGUGACCGGCCACAUUGGGACUGAGAUACGGCCCAGACUCCUACGGGAGGCAGCAGUGGGGAAUAUUGCACAAUGGGCGGAAGCCUGAUGCAGCAACGCCGCGUGCGGGAUGACGGCCUUCGGGUUGUAAACCGCUUUCGCCUGUGACGAAGCGUGAGUGACGGUAAUGGGUAAAGAAGCACCGGCUAACUACGUG
This 468-nucleotide ribosomal RNA is filed under the name uncultured bacterium. RNAcentral's name for it is "partial 16S ribosomal RNA". It matches the Rfam family "Bacterial small subunit ribosomal RNA", at positions 28 to 507 of the family's 1533-position model. The record is from RNAcentral.